Molecule: non-coding RNA, 1781 nt
Organism: Delphinapterus leucas (beluga whale)
Lineage: Eukaryota; Metazoa; Chordata; Mammalia; Artiodactyla; Monodontidae
Source: RefSeq, a predicted model, not a curated record
AAUAAUAUAUGUGGAAGAAUUGUGUUUUUUAAAAAAUAAAAAUUAUGAGGCCCACUGGUUAAAUUUAUCUGUCUGUUUAAUUUACCAUUUAUCUUUGGCAAAUACCAGAGUGACUAGCACACAAGGACUCACUGCAUUGUUAUUUGCUAUAUAGAUAACUGAAUGAAUAAAUGAAUGAAUAGAUGAAAAAUAGAUUCUUGUCAUGACUUCAUUUUGAAAAAACAGUGUGACCUUGACCACAACCUUUUAUAUUUUUAGGUCAAAGUUACCCAUGUGUAAAAUAAAGGCUGAUGAUAACACUUGAAAGCAGGAUUCUGGAUCAGAUAUUCUCUUUAUAUUCUUUCUAGAUGUUUGAGUCUGUGUAAUCCAGUUUGGGUCUUUCCUGAAGAUACUUCAUCAUAUACCAAAAAUGUUCCCUGGGCCUUUCUAUUAUUAUGGUGUACAUGCCUUGCUUGAGUGAGUCUCUACAAUGUUGGAAAAUAGAGGACAGGGAAGCUAUGAGUAAAUGGUUCCAAGAGUUUUCAAAGAGGUGGAAAUUAUUCAAAUUUCCACCUUCCUGAAUGGAGCAUCUUUGUUGAUCACUAGAGGCAUUCAGUAGAGACCCCAGUUGGCUGGAAUUGGAGUUGCUCUGAAGACAUUCGCAACAUGCACAGGUUCUGGAAGGCUUAGGCCCUUGAGGGAAUUAGGUCGAAUUAUUCACAAGGAAGCUCUAUGGACUAGACAAGAGGAGAGUGCUAUGGAUUGAAGGUUUGUGAUCCCACCAAAAUUCAUCUGUUGAAAUCCUAACCUUCAUUGUGAUGGUAUUAAGAGGUUGUGUCUUUGGGAUGUAAUUGGUCAUUAGGAUGGAGACCACAUGAAUGGGAUUAGUUCUCUUAUAAGAAGAGAUAGAAGAUUUUGCUCCCUCUCUCUCUGCUUUCUACCAUAUGAGGAUACAGCCAUCUGCAAAUGAGAAAGCAGGAUUUUACCAGACACUGGAUCUGCCAGCACCUUGAUCUUAGACUUCCCAGGCUCCAGAACCAUAAGAAAUAAGUGUUUGUUGUUUAAACUACCAAGUUUGUUGUAAUAUGUUAUAGCUGCCAGAGCUGACUAAAACAGAGAGUAACCCUGGAAACUGGCUAGGCAUGAUCUCCCUAAAAACUGGAUAGAAAACAGCCAUUUAGGUUCCUUUAGCAGCUAUGCUCAAACAAUUUCAGCUCUAGGGGAAUGUUGAGGAUCUCUGUGUUCCAGGAACACUAAAACCAUGAAACUCGUAGUUCACAACACACUGCCUGAAAAACCAAAGGAAACAAUGAUACUGAUGAAAAUAACCAGACUCUUAAGACUUCUCUAAAUGUACCUAUUUGUUAGGACCAUGUAAGUGCCAAAGAAGGAAAUCUGUCCUUUAAACAUUGAUAAUCAACUUCUUGACAAUCCUACUGAGCUGGGAGUAUAUAGGAAAUUUUAAUUUAAUUUAUAAAAAUAAGGAAAUGUUGUGGAACAAUUAAUACCAAUUAGAGUUCUUGAGUGAGUUGAUCAAUCAAACCACAGUUUGGAAGCCACUUGUAAAAUAAAGGUUUAUUGAGAAUAGACAAUAUUUUUGCUUGGCUUGAUUUUGAUAGAUCAUAAAAUCCAUUGGUAGAGAAAUAACAGUGACAAUAAACUUUUAUGAAAUUACAUAAUUAAAUAAGAAAUUAUAAGAAAAUGAAUAGACUAUCAUUUUUCUUUCUUAAAAGAAUCACACAAAAAUGGAAGAAUUUACAAUUUAUUUUGAAAUAUCCCUACUUGACUAAAUCUUAAUCUUG